CCUACGGGAGGCAGCAGUGAGGAAUAUUGGUCAAUGGACGCAAGUCUGAACCAGCCAUGCCGCGUGCAGGAAGACGGCUCUAUGAGUUGUAAACUGCUUUUGUACGAGGGUAAACGCAGAUACGCGUAUCUGUCUGAAAGUAUCGUACGAAUAAGGCUCGGCUAACGCCGUGCCAGCAGCCGCGGUAAUACGGAGGAUUCAAGCGUUAUCCGGAUUUAUUGGGUUUAAAGGGUGCGUAGGCGGUCGGAUAAGUUAGAGGUGAAAUCCCGCGGGGCAACUUCGGACUUGCCUCUGAUACUGGUCGGCUAGAGAGUAGUAGCGGUAGGCGGAAUGUGUGGUGUAGCGGUGAAAUGCUUAGAGAUCAUACAGAACACCGAUUGCGAAGGCAGCUUACCGGGCUACUUCUGACGUUGAGGCACGAAAGCGUGGGGAGCGAACAGGAUUAGAUACCCUAGUAGUC
Molecule: ribosomal RNA, 460 nt
Filed under: uncultured bacterium
Lineage: Bacteria
Description: partial 16S ribosomal RNA
Rfam family: Bacterial small subunit ribosomal RNA
Source: RNAcentral